This 252-nucleotide ribosomal RNA is filed under the name uncultured prokaryote. RNAcentral's name for it is "partial 16S rRNA". It matches the Rfam family "Archaeal small subunit ribosomal RNA", at positions 475 to 726 of the family's 1478-position model. The record is from RNAcentral.
ACCGGCGGCUCGAGUGGUGGCCACUAUUACUGGGCUUAAAGCGUUCGUAGCUGGUUUGUUAAGUCUCUGGGGAAAUCUUCCGGCUCAACCGGAAGGCGUCUCAGGGAUACUGGCAGACUAGGGACCGGAAGAGGUGAGAGGUACUUCAGGGGUAGGAGCGAACCCCGGUAGUCCCUGAGGUGACACCUGUGGCGAAGGCGAGUAACCAGGACGGGUCCGACAGUUAGGCCGGAAAGCUGCGGGAACAAAAAG